AGGACAGGAAUUUGCAAUCAAAUAAGGUAGGCUGCCCUUUAGGAGAGGGCAAGAGACAGGUAUGUGAGGUAGGGGUUAGUCUUGGAGGCCAUAAGCUUUCCUAAAGAGAUGGGUUUUAAGGCACUUCUUAAAAGAUGCAAGACUAGGGGAGAGUCUGAUGGCGGGAGGCAGGCUAUUCCAUAGGAAGGGAGCCGCCCGCGAGAAGUCCUGCAAGCGCGAGUUGGCCGUACGGGUGCGGACAACGGACAG
RNAcentral lists this long non-coding RNA (249 nucleotides) under Pelobates cultripes (western spadefoot toad). Lineage: Eukaryota; Metazoa; Chordata; Amphibia; Anura; Pelobatidae. The record is from RNAcentral.